Molecule: non-coding RNA, 189 nt
Organism: Theobroma cacao (cacao)
Lineage: Eukaryota; Viridiplantae; Streptophyta; Magnoliopsida; Malvales; Malvaceae
Source: RefSeq, a predicted model, not a curated record
GGAAUUGUUGGAAAGAAUUUCAAAAUUGCAAAACUAUCAAGGUUCCAACGAAGCCCCAUUAUCUCAAUUGGACCAUUAGGGAGGUUAAAGUUGGCUAAAGGCUCAACUACUACCGAUCACGAGACAGUUGGUAGCUAGGUUGAGGUGUCUUCAUACAUUCGACCCUUGGUAGGUGUCUCGGCAUUCAAU